Molecule: long non-coding RNA, 372 nt
Filed under: Lupinus mutabilis
Lineage: Eukaryota; Viridiplantae; Streptophyta; Magnoliopsida; Fabales; Fabaceae
Description: partial ncRNA
Source: RNAcentral
UCAGGCUCAGGCUCAGGCUCUGGUGCUGGCUCAGGUUCAGGAUCUGGUUCAGGCUCAGGUGCUGGGGCUGGUUCAGGUUCAGGAUCUGGCUCUGGUGCAGGAUCUGGUUCAGGUUCAAGCAAUUCAGGAGGUAGUUCACGUGGAAAUGCAUCUAGUGCAAGUUCUGCCAGUGGAGCAGGCAAAGGUAAGGGUAAAAAUGGUAAAACAAAGGGAUCAGAAGGCGGAUCAUCUGCAAGUGCAGCAGCUGUCGCAGCAGCAAGUUCGGCAUCGAAAGGAAAACCUAAUGGCAAAGGAAAGAGUGGAUCUGGCUCUCAUUCAACUAAAAAACCAAUGAUUAAAAUUGAUGCACCUAUGGUUAAAAUGAGUGCCGGA